ACACGAAGAACCUUACAGGUUGACAUACGAAGUAGUAGGGAAAGGAACUGGACCGACCCUUCGGGGAGUCUGUACAGGUGCUGCAUGGCUGUCGUCAGCUCGUGUCGCGAGAUGUCGGUUAAGUCCGCUAACGAGCGCAACCCUCGCUGUGUGUUACAAGUGUCACACGGAACUGCCGGUCAUAAACCGGAGGAAGGUGGGAUGACGUCAAGUCAGCAUGGCCUUUAUAUCCUGGGCUACACACACGCUACAAUGGGAAGGGACAAUAGGUUGCGAAGCCGCGAGGCGGAGCCAAUCCAGCAAAACUUCCCUCAGUUCAGAUUGCAGGCUGCAACCCGCCUGCAUGAAGUUGGAGUUGCUAGUAAACGCAGGUCAGCCAUACUGCGUUGAAUACGUUCCCGGGGCUU
RNAcentral lists this ribosomal RNA (407 nucleotides) under uncultured Anaerolineaceae bacterium. RNAcentral describes it as "bacterial SSU rRNA". It matches the Rfam family "Bacterial small subunit ribosomal RNA", at positions 959 to 1382 of the family's 1533-position model. Lineage: Bacteria; Bacillati; Chloroflexota; Anaerolineae; Anaerolineales; Anaerolineaceae. The record is from RNAcentral.